AGUAUUAUGUCUGAUAAAAGUAAUAAAUUGUAAAUUUAUUUAUAAGAAAAUUUUCUUUAAUACUA
Molecule: transfer RNA, 65 nt
Filed under: Zele chlorophthalmus
Lineage: Eukaryota; Metazoa; Arthropoda; Insecta; Hymenoptera; Braconidae
Description: tRNA-Tyr
Source: RNAcentral